GUUUGCUGAAGCCAAAAGUAUAUUGCAUACAGUUGCUUCUGAUGAUAGUUUAAGGAAACCAAUUUCAGAAGUAGCUUCAUUUUUGGGUGAGAAUCAUGUAGAACAUAAAGUUAUGGGGAAGAUGUUUGACAUGUUGUUUAGGGUAUAUGUUGAUAGUAUGAGGUUUAAGGAUGCUCUUGAGGUUUUUGAGUAUAUGAAGAAUGGUGGGUUCGAGAUAGAUGAUAGAUCUUGUAUGGUUUACUUACUUGCUAUGAAAAGACGAAAACAGUAUGACUCACUGGUUGAGU
Molecule: unclassified non-coding RNA, 287 nt
Filed under: Hevea brasiliensis (rubber tree)
Lineage: Eukaryota; Viridiplantae; Streptophyta; Magnoliopsida; Malpighiales; Euphorbiaceae
Source: RNAcentral